AGAAGAACUAGAACAUAAUAACAUGGCAAUCCAAAUGCUCUGGAUGAAUUGCAUGAAGUGAAACAAAAUUAUCGUUAAUUUUCUUUAAUCAACAAAUUUUUUUUUUAUUGUCAUAACACAUCAAAAAGUUUAGGCGAACCAUGAUUUUUCAAAUUGGGUGAAUAAGAAAAAUAAAUUUCCCCUUUUCCUGGGUAAGAUAAGGAGGAGGAGGAGAAGAGCUCCAUUGGUUCCCUUCCGUCAGUAUAUGCCAUAUGCCCAUUAAUAUGAGAACCGUCCACCUUCAUCUAUUUCCACAAUCAUUUAAUUUCACCAUUAUGGCAACUGCAGUUCUGAUAAGUUCACAAUUACAAAACAGGGUUUGUAGCUAGCUCCCAGCUGCGCCUUGACUUUUGAGAAACUUGAUACAACAAUGAUAAUUAAUUUUACAAAGACGAGAUGACUAAGAAAAUGCAACUAUUUUUUUGGAAUCAGAGAAACAUUUUACAUAAUUUCAUAACUUCAACAAAUGAGAGAAUUUCAAGCAAAACAUGCAUUUUUUAUUUGCUCUAUUGUACAUGCAACAAAAUGUUGCAAGUUCUGAUAAUCUCUACAACUAAAAAGGAAACAAAUUGAUAUCACCUAAAAAGGAAACAAAGUUAUGUAUAAACAUAUUAUUGUUGAUUUUUCACAAGUUAAAGGAAAACAAACUUCAAUUGUUCAUAGAUAUUAUCACUGAAAUCUUACAACUAUGCAAGAUAUGUCAUCCUUACUUUUUCUAGAAACUGCCUCGUCUAUCAAGCGCUUUGCAGCUGAAUGAGCAUCUUUGAUGUCUUUUAUAGUAUCCACUGCUUCUUGGUUUGACAUCACCUACAUGAAUUUUAAUAGAUAUUGGAAUACAAAAACCUAAAGCUUUAUCCUAUGAUUGGUCAGGUCUAGAAAACAAAGGCUAGUAACUAAAAAUCAGCUUUGAUUUUUGUUACUUUGAUUUUUCAUUAUUUACAAGUUUAUCUUAUCAUUUUUCUUACAAAGUAAAACAGAAAAUGUAAUAAUUAACAAUAAAGAGCGUUUGACCAACCUUCCAUAUCCCAUCACUUGCCAGAAUGAUGAACUCUGUGUCAUCAUCGAUUGUCUCUUCAGCCACAUCAGGUUCUGAACUAAGGUGUAUCUUCAAGCUCUUAUCACCAAAUGCCCUUGCAACGGCUAGCUGUCCAUCAACACGUGGAACAUCCCCAGGAAGGUUUGACACAAAACCACCACGACUCUCUAUCGUAUUCUUUUCUUUGCUUGGUUCAUGAUCGACAGAUAGUUGUUUGGCCACGCCAUUCUUGGAUAUGACAGCCCGAGAAUCUCCCACAUUUGCUACUACCAGCUUCUGACCAUUGAUCAGGAUUGCUGUAACAGCAGUUGAUCCUCCUUUACCCAAGACAAAUGCUUUUUCCAGUAUUUCAACAUCCGUUGUAUGAUAAGCUCUCCUUAUUGCACUCUCUGUAUCUGUCCAGAAGUCAUGCUCUUUCAAAAUAUUGUCAAACAAAUGGGUUUGCAAGUAAUUUGCAACAUCAUGGCCCAAAUGGCCAUCAAAUAUUGCAAAUAAACCCAACUCAUUGUUAUUUACUUGCUUGAAAUCAGAAAAUACAUAAUCUUCCAUGGCAUGAUUUGAUUUUCCCUUCAUCAAGUGAUAACCAUGUGUGAUAUGCUUUGACAUUUUGCUUUUGCCUUUUCCUGUCUCAGACGAUGAACAAAAUCCGGCCUUCACCUUCAUCUUGUGCAGAAUUUCUCUGCUAGUCAUGGUGGUAAGAAAAUGAGUGAUCUUUGAGAGAGAGAGAGAGAGAGA
Molecule: unclassified non-coding RNA, 1810 nt
Filed under: Hevea brasiliensis (rubber tree)
Lineage: Eukaryota; Viridiplantae; Streptophyta; Magnoliopsida; Malpighiales; Euphorbiaceae
Source: RNAcentral